AUGGGGUCGGAUCUUGUGGUGCUUUGUCGGAGCUCGAUCCAUCGCCUCCCAAACCAGCCGUCGCCGUGCCGCUGGGGCUUGGGUUUCCAUGGGGAAUCACUACACAGCAGCAUGCCUCCCUCCUUCAUCAUCGUCAUCAGAGCCACCGCACCUCUCCUUCCUCCUUGCUCGCACCCCUGCCGCGGCGCGCAUCCCUCCCCUUUCGAUCUAAUUUCAUUCUUGUUUCACAUGUUGGUUUGGUUGGCAAGAGACGUUGCAGUGCCGACGGCAGUAGCCAGGGUUGGCGUUGCUGAUGUCUGUAGGUUAUGGGAUUGGAUCUCCCUUUUCUAA
RNAcentral lists this ribosomal RNA (330 nucleotides) under Triticum aestivum (bread wheat). RNAcentral's name for it is "partial small subunit ribosomal RNA". The record is from RNAcentral. Lineage: Eukaryota; Viridiplantae; Streptophyta; Magnoliopsida; Poales; Poaceae.